This 303-nucleotide ribosomal RNA is filed under the name uncultured bacterium. Its description in RNAcentral is "bacterial SSU rRNA". It matches the Rfam family "Bacterial small subunit ribosomal RNA", at positions 355 to 675 of the family's 1533-position model. The record is from RNAcentral.
UGGGGAAUAUUGCACAAUGGGGGGAACCCUGAUGCAGCGACGCCGCGUGAGUGAAGAAGUAUUUCGGUAUGUAAAGCUCUAUCAGCAGGGAAGAAGAUGACGGUACCUGACUAAGAAGCCCCGGCUAACUACGUGCCAGCAGCCGCGGUAAUACGUAGGGGGCAAGCGUUAUCCGGAUUUACUGGGUGUAAAGGGAGCGUAGACGGCAGGGCAAGUCUGGAGUGAAAGCCCGGGGCCCAACCCCGGGACUGCUUUGGAAACUGCCAUGCUGGAGUGCUGGAGAGGUAAGCGGAAUUCCUAGUG